UACGUAGGAUGCAAGCGUUGUCCGGAUUUACUGGGCGUAAAGCGCGCGCAGGCGGCAGUACAAGUACCCUCUGAAAUCUCCUUGCUCAACGAGGAGGGUGGAGGGUAGACUGUGCAGCUAGAGGAGGGUAGAGGGGGGUAGAAUUGCUGGUGUAGCGGUGAAAUGCGUAGAGAUCCGGAGGAACACCAGUGGCGAAGGCGACACGCUGGGCCGUACCUGACACUGAUGCGCGACAGCAUGGGGAGCAAACAGG
Molecule: ribosomal RNA, 253 nt
Filed under: uncultured bacterium
Lineage: Bacteria
Description: partial 16S ribosomal RNA
Rfam family: Bacterial small subunit ribosomal RNA
Source: RNAcentral